RNAcentral lists this unclassified non-coding RNA (279 nucleotides) under plant metagenome. RNAcentral describes it as "partial contains small subunit ribosomal RNA, internal transcribed spacer 1, and 5.8S ribosomal RNA". The record is from RNAcentral.
GUUCCGUAGGUGAACCUGCGGAAGGAUCAUUAAUAAAUGUAAUCCCAUCAAGUACCAACCACCCACCCCAGUUUAAUGAACUUUUUUGCCACGGCGUGCCCUCCUCACGGCCCCCGGGCGCCGUUCUCUCCAUCUCCCACAGCCGUCGACACCAUCCUAAGCAACCACACAAACAAACGUCUUAUAAUCACUUACUGAACUACAUAAAAAUUAAUGAAAAGACAACUUUUAUCAAUGGAUCUAUUGACACUUGCACCGAUCAAGAACGCACACGAUCGG